RNAcentral lists this ribosomal RNA (668 nucleotides) under uncultured archaeon. RNAcentral's name for it is "bacterial SSU rRNA". It matches the Rfam family "Archaeal small subunit ribosomal RNA", at positions 1 to 647 of the family's 1478-position model. The record is from RNAcentral.
UUCCGGUUGAUCCCGCCGGACCCUACUGCUAUCGGGGUGGGGCUAAAACAUGCGUGUCGAACGCUUCCAAGCCAUGGAGGAAGCGUGGCAUACGGCUCAGUAACACGUGGCCAAUUCACCCUUGGGACAGAGACAACCCCGGGAAACUGGGGCUAAUCCCAGAUAAGCGAUGAGGCCUGGAAUGGUUCAUCACCCAAAAGCCUCCAGACCAUGCUCAAAGAGGCGCCCAAGGACAAAGCCGCGACCGAUCAGGCUGUUGGUAGGGCAACGGCCUACCAAACCCAUAACCGGUACGGGCCGUGAGAGCGGAAGCCCGGAGAUGGAUACUGAGACAAGGAUCCAGGCCCUACGGGGCGCAGCAGUUGCGAAAACUCCACAAUGCACGAAAGUGUGAUGGGGCUACCCCGAGUGCCGUCCGCUGAGGAUGGCUUUUCUCUGCUGUAAGGAGGCAGAGGAAUAAGGAGAGGGCAAGCCUGGUGUCAGCCGCCGCGGUAAUACCAGCUCUCCGAGUGGUAGGGAUGAUUAUUGGGCUUAAAGCGUCCGUAGCCGGCUGGACAAGUCUUCUGUUAAAUCCAGCAACCCAAUUGUUGGACUGCGGGAGAUACUGCCUAGCUAGAGAACGGGAGAAGCCGACGGUACUCUCAGGGUAGGAGUGAAAUCCUAUAAUC